CAGUUUUAAGUUUAACUUUAUUCAUGCUCCAGAAACUUUCUGAAGAGGAAAGAAAUAGUACUUGGAUCUUAUCUUCCAUUGAAGAUUUCUUUUGUUUACAGGUAUUGAUGAAAUAAUCCCCACAGUAAAUAAAAGAAGUAUUCAGUUUCUUUGAGAAAAGUGAAGUAACCAACAGCUUAAUGAGUUCCCCCAGCUCACACAAUAUAUUUGUGCUCUGUUUAGAAACACAGAUGAGACCUUUCCACUAGCUGCAAGCCCUCCUUUCCUGAAAGUUCCUCGAGAAAAUAACAUCUGGAUUAUGAGUCAAGAAAUUCUUCAACCUAGCAAAGCAAAGUUUGUAGUGCAGAAGCAGAUAAGGUUUGAAUGCUGCUAAUAAGCUAAUCAGUGAAUCUCCAUUUCUCCUGAUUUUUGAUGUAUUGGAACAAUUGACCUGAAGUUUCUGAUUAAAUUGAGUAUUUCAGCAAAUACUUAUUAAUCAAGCCCACUUGUUUUUUACCAAGCUUGAACAAAUGUUCUGAUCAUAAGCAGUUAAUAUGCUUUUAGUUAAAAACAGCAUAUAGCCAUAAUUCAGGAUACUAUUGAAAAUGUAACUAAAUAAUGUAUAGGUCCAUCUUAAAGAAACCUUGUGAGUAGCAGUUUAUUUUUACUAUUAAAGUAUGAUUUUUUUUUUUACUGGUAACAAAUAUUAAGAGUGGUCAGGAUUCAACCUACAGUGUUCAGGAAAGAAAUUGUGAGUUAUUACCACCAGCCGCAUCCUGAAAAUGGUCACAACCAGCAGACUGACAGUCAAAUUGGACUCUUUGGCUGAACUGCUGCAGUAAUGCCAUAUUGCUAAUGACUAAUUUCCACAGCAGUGAGUUUUCUUUCUGGUGCUGUUUAUUUUUCCCUUGAUUCUUUCAUAGGACUCUGGUUGUCUUUUAGGCAUAAUACUGUCUUGCUAAAGUGUGCUUAACAGUCUAUAAUGGCUGUUUAAAGCAUUUUUUUUCUUUUCUAUAAUUUUUACAACAUGCUUAGAAGUAGAAUACAGCGCAUUGGAUUAGAAAAUGUGUUUAUGCCCAGCUUGGGUAUUAACUGCUCCUGGAGGGGGUUCUCAAUACUUAUCUAUUUCAAACCACAGGUUUCUCUUUGAAAGGCAGUCCUUUGGCUAAUCCAUCCUUUUACUCUGUGUUGGACUUGAACACCAAUGCUCACAGAGCCAGAAGUGCUCUUCCACAGACACACAGUUUCUCUAAAAUGUAGAAGAAUGAUCUUUUCCCAGCAAAGUCACAAGACAGGGAUCUGCUCAGACUGCUGAAGGAAGACUUACGAAAGAGCCUGGCAAGGUUAAAAAAAAAAAAA
This 1338-nucleotide long non-coding RNA is filed under the name Strigops habroptila (Kakapo). RNAcentral's name for it is "lncRNA (ENSSHBG00005003869.1)". Lineage: Eukaryota; Metazoa; Chordata; Aves; Psittaciformes; Psittacidae. The record is from RNAcentral.